CUGUGAGGGAAGCAGCCCACUCUGCGGAGAAGAUUCCCAAAUGGAUUGCUGUAACUGCUGUGCGCUGGGUCUGCGUUUGCGAAGGGAAGGUGAAGGUUGUGAAGUGCAUCAGCACCUGAGCUACCCUUGCGGACACGUCUUCCUCACCUGCUGCGAGGAGGGAGAGGAGGGUCUUGCUCCGCCUAUGAUCAAGAAAAAACAGAGGCCUCAACCGACCGUUCUUCCUAAGAGAGCCUGGAUCAUAUUUGGAAGCAUCUGAAGUC
Molecule: long non-coding RNA, 263 nt
Filed under: Sinocyclocheilus anshuiensis
Lineage: Eukaryota; Metazoa; Chordata; Actinopteri; Cypriniformes; Cyprinidae
Description: lncRNA (ENSSANG00000052143.1)
Source: RNAcentral